This 1453-nucleotide long non-coding RNA is filed under the name Malus domestica (apple). RNAcentral describes it as "long non-coding RNA (MDOM_LNC002462)". Lineage: Eukaryota; Viridiplantae; Streptophyta; Magnoliopsida; Rosales; Rosaceae. The record is from RNAcentral.
GCUGCAAGCUUCACGUGCUCAACUUUGGCAGAGAACUUUGGCAAAGUUAUCUGUGGUACCCAUGAGCUAUUGUUGCGUGUGGGAAGUGGGUGAUUGAACAGUAAGAUUCAUGUGCUUUCUACUUCACCAGAAGUCUUCGACAGAAUGCCCAUAAUUUCCGCAAAGCUGAGUGUGCGUGUGACAAGUGCUGACAAGGCUGGAAAAGUAGGUGCCUCUUCGAUUUCUGAGAUCGACCCUCGUGGUCUCUGAGCAGCCCAGAUUUUGAGAAAGCAAGCGCCUCUUCGAUUUUUGAGAAAGCAAUCAUGCUGGGGGUCUGGCUCUCGAGAUUCGGAGAGCGGUGUCUCUUCGAAUUUUGAGAAAGUAAUCAUGUUGGGAGUCUGGCUCUCGAGAUUCGGAGGGCGGUGCCUCUUCGAUUUUGGAGCAAGCAAUAUUGUUGGGAGUGUUUUCUCGAAUGUGAGUAAAGGUUGGGCAUGUUUGCUAGUCUACCUUGCCACGAAGCACAGAGGUUGACACACAGGGACUUUCCAAUUAUCCAGCAAUGGUACUGUUCCUUUACCCUCUCUUUCGAUUUUUGAGAAAGUAAUCAUGUUGGGAGUCUGGCUCUCGAGAUUCGGAGGGCGGUGCCUCUUCGAUUUUGGAGCAAGCAAUCUUGUGGAGUGUUUUCUCGAAUGUGAGUAAAGGUUGGGCAUGUUUGCUAGUCUACCUUGCUACGAAGCACAGAGGUUGACACACAGGGACUUUCCAAUUAUCCAGCAGUGGUACUGUUCCUUUACCCUUGUGGGUAAUAAUAUGGUAGCUAGACCUUCAAAAUUUAUGUGUCUAAACUUUGUUAGUACUGUUUCUUUGCUAUUCUUUUACCCUUCUUGGUUAGAGCGAUGUAGUAAGAGCUGCAAGCUUCACGUGCUCAACUUUGGCAGAGAACUUUGGCAAAGUUAUCUGUGGUACCCAUGAGCUAUUGUUGCGUGUGGGAAAUGGGUGAUUGAGCAGUAAGAUUCAUGUGCUUUCUACUUUACCAGAAGUCUUUGACAGAAUGCCCAUAAUUUCCACAAAGCUGAGUGUGCGUGUGAUAGGUGCUGACAAGGCUGGAAAAGUAGGUGCCUCUUCGAUUUCUGAGAUCGGCCCUCGUGGUCUCUGAGCAGCCCAACUUUUGAGAAAGCGAGCGCCUCUUCGAUUUCUGAGAUUGGCCUUCGUGGUCUUCGAGCAGCCCAGCUUUUGAGAAAGCAAACGCCUCUUCGAUUUCUGAGAUCAACCCUCGUGGUCUCUGAGCAGCCCAACUUUUGAGAAAGCAAACGCCUCUUCGAUUUCUGAAGCUCCGUCGAGUGCAGAUUUUUAUAGGGGCUGGCAUUAAGUUCUAAAGCACACUUGAAAUCCACCAGUAGAAGCUCCAUUCUUGCACUUCUAAGAUCUUGAUUUAUCCGACCUCUUCUCUCUUCAACACCUUUGAAAAUGUCUG